UACCCCCCUGCAUAGCGGGUUUACAUGUUUGCGUGUGUAUAGGAGGCCAGUUAUGUGAGACGAAACUUCACGCUCAAGGACAUCAACCUGCUCAAGAUUCUCCUUUCCAGAUACGUCACAAAGCUCUAAUUUUAGGAGCGUUAUAAUAUUAAGUGGGUAGUCAUGGCAAUUGUAAUACCCCCCCCCCCUACCACUUAGUGGCUUGUAUCCUCAGCUGGCCAUUGCUAACGACUGUAACUCCAACAGAAAAGACUUGAAACAAGUCUACCACACAAAGAUGAAGUCGUUUGUACUAUUACAUCCGACCAGUAUAUUCUCCACCAGUCCGGAGUAUCUUCACCAUGAGGGCACGGACAACAAGUGCAAAGAGCUACUGGCUUGUGUUGAUCUCCUGGAGACCAAUAAACCAUACCUGGUCAAUGCCGUGAGGGUGCCAGCUCUGCAGACCAUCUCCUUGUUCUCACAGAGUUUGGACACUAACAAUAA
Halichondria panicea is the source of this 486-nucleotide long non-coding RNA. RefSeq lists it as uncharacterized. The record is from RefSeq and is a predicted model, not a curated record. Lineage: Eukaryota; Metazoa; Porifera; Demospongiae; Suberitida; Halichondriidae. The transcript is spliced from 3 exons.